RNAcentral lists this non-coding RNA (117 nucleotides) under Pan troglodytes (chimpanzee). Lineage: Eukaryota; Metazoa; Chordata; Mammalia; Primates; Hominidae. The record is from Rfam by way of RNAcentral.
GCCAGGCGUGGUGGCUCACGCCUGUAAUCCCAGCACCUUGGGAGGCUGAGGCGGGCGGAUCACCUGAGGUCAGGAGUUUGAGACCAGCCUGACCAACAUGGAGAAACCCUGUCUCUA